AAAAAUGGAUGAUGUAAAAACAGCAAACUCGGCACUUGUUUGGUAUUUUUAUGUGACAAAACGGAGACGUUUACGCUUGGCAAAAGAUAACCGUGUACGUAGAAUAGCGCUUCGAACAACAUAAAAAGUAAAGGUAAAAAGAGUUCACUGAAAUUGCACUAGCUUUUUUUCAUCGCCAAAGAACUAGAACACUGUGGAUGCACCCACGAACACAGAUCUGGUUUGAGAUGGUGGACGACACCUACAACGACGAGCUAUGGUAUGCUAACUUCAG
This is a non-coding RNA of Paramuricea clavata, 274 nucleotides long. The record is from the annotation of a GenBank genome assembly. Lineage: Eukaryota; Metazoa; Cnidaria; Anthozoa; Malacalcyonacea; Plexauridae.